Molecule: ribosomal RNA, 453 nt
Filed under: uncultured bacterium
Lineage: Bacteria
Description: bacterial SSU rRNA
Rfam family: Bacterial small subunit ribosomal RNA
Source: RNAcentral
CAGCAGUGGGGAAUAUUGCACAAUGGGCGCAAGCCUGAUGCAGCCAUGCCGCGUGUAUGAAGAAGGCCUUCGGGUUGUAAAGUACUUUCAGCAGUGAGGAAGGUGGGUAUGUUAAUAGCAUAUUCAUUUGACGUUAGCUGCAGAAGAAGCACCGGCUAACUCCGUGCCAGCAGCCGCGGUAAUACGGAGGGUGCGAGCGUUAAUCGGAAUUACUGGGCGUAAAGCGCAUGCAGGUGGUUUGUUAAGUCAGAUGUGAAAGCCCGGGGCUCAACCUCGGAAUUGCAUUUGAAAACUGGCAAACUAGAGUACUGUAGAGGGGGUAGGAAUUUCAGGUGUAGCGGUGAAAUGCGUAGAGAUCUGAAGGAAUACCGGUGGCGAAGGCGGCCCCCUGGACAGAUACUGACACUCAGAUGCGAAAGCGUGGGGAGCAAACAGGAUUAGAUACCCUGGUAG